AUAUGAUUAAAAGAAGAAAAAAAAAAAAAAUCAGAUUGUGAAUUUCCUCUGCCCUCCUCCUGUUCAUGUUCUCUCUCGGCCAAACCCUCAAAUAUCACCACCAUAGCUUAUUCAUCAAUAUUCUUUCAAGAAACUCACACAUGCAUUUGAUAAAUUGUAAAUCUUAACCCAUUAGACAAUUAAAUAAGCUUAUUGACAGUGAUUUGAGAGUAAAUCAACCAAGGAGAAAGGGUAUUAAGGUUAGGGUUCUUUGAAGAUUUGGGGAAAAAGGUAGAGCUUUGGAGAAGAUCUAGGAUUUGGGAGGAAAUAGAGUAAAGAAGGAACAUUGGGAGCUUGAAGAACCAACUUUCAUCCUUAGAAUCAAGGUAUAAGCCAUUUUGGAGUCAAUCGGAGCCGGAUCACAAGAGUCUAGGUUUAGGAUCCUGAGUUGAAAUUUUAACCUUACUCGCAAUUUUGUAAAAAGGAUGCCAAAUUCUAUUUGAGUCAUAUAAUAAUUUUAAGACUUAGGUUUACAAUUA
Medicago truncatula (barrel medic) is the source of this 518-nucleotide long non-coding RNA. RefSeq lists it as uncharacterized. The transcript is spliced from 2 exons. The record is from RefSeq and is a predicted model, not a curated record. Lineage: Eukaryota; Viridiplantae; Streptophyta; Magnoliopsida; Fabales; Fabaceae.